Molecule: non-coding RNA, 54 nt
Organism: Salmo salar (Atlantic salmon)
Lineage: Eukaryota; Metazoa; Chordata; Actinopteri; Salmoniformes; Salmonidae
Source: Rfam
UUGUGGUACUUUUGUAAGUCGCUCUGGAUAAGAGCGUCUGCUAAAUGACUUAAA